GUGCACUGCAUACUGUUGUUGUAAUGGGUCAGCGACUGUGAUCCUGUAGCAAGGUCAACCGACUAGGGGAGCCGAAGGGAAACCGAGUCUUAACUGGGCGUUAAGUUGCAGGGUAUAGACCCGAAACCCGGUGAUCUAGCCAUGGGCAGGUUGAAGGUUGGGUAACACUAACUGGAGGACCGAACCGACUAAUGUUGAAAAAUUAGCGGAUGACUUGUGGCUGGGGGUGAAAGGCCAAUCAAACCGGGAGAUAGCUGGUUCUCCCCGAAAGCUAUUUAGGUAGCGCCUCGUGAAUUCAUCUCCGGGGGUAGAGCACUGUUUCGGCAAGGGGGUCAUCCCGACUUACCAACCCGAUGCAAACUGCGAAUACCGGAGAAUGUUAUCACGGGAGACACACGGCGGGUGCUAACGUCCGUCGUGAAGAGGGAAACAACCCAGACCGCCAGCUAAGGUCCCAAAGUCAUGGUUAAGUGGGAAACGAUGUGGGAAGGCCCAGACAGCCAGGAUGUUGGCUUAGAAGCAGCCAUCAUUUAAAGAAAGCGUAAUAGCUCACUGGUCGAGUCGGCCUGCGCGGAAGAUGUAACGGGGCUAAACCAUGCACCGAAGCUGCGGCAGCGACACUAUGUGUUGUUGGGUAGGGGAGCGUUCUGUAAGCCUGUGAAGGUGGCCUGUGAGGGUUGCUGGAGGUAUCAGAAGUGCGAAUGCUGACAUAAGUAACGAUAAAGCGGGUGAAAAGCCCGCUCGCCGGAAGACCAAGGGUUCCUGUCCAACGUUAAUCGGGGCAGGGUGAGUCGACCCCUAAGGCGAGGCCGAAAGGCGUAGUCGAUGGGAAACAGGUUAAUAUUCCUGUACUUGGUGUUACUGCGAAGGGGGGACGGAGAAGGCUAUGUUGGCCGGGCGACGGUUGUCCCGGUUUAAGCGUGUAGGCUGGUUUUCCAGGCAAAUCCGGAAAACCAAGGCUGAGGCGUGAUGACGAGGCACUACGGUGCUGAAGCGACAAAUGCCCUGCUUCCAGGAAAAGCCUCUAAGCAUCAGGUAACAUCAAAUCGUACCCCAAACCGACACAGGUGGUCAGGUAGAGAAUACCAAGGCGCUUGAGAGAACUCGGGUGAAGGAACUAGGCAAAAUGGUGCCGUAACUUCGGGAGAAGGCACGCUGAUAUGUAGGUGAAGCGACUUGCUCGUGGAGCUGAAAUCAGUCGAAGAUACCAGCUGGCUGCAACUGUUUAUUAAAAACACAGCACUGUGCAAACACGAAAGUGGACGUAUACGGUGUGACGCCUGCCCGGUGCCGGAAGGUUAAUUGAUGGGGUUAGCGGUAACGCGAAGCUCUUGAUCGAAGCCCCGGUAAACGGCGGCCGUAACUAUAACGGUCCUAAGGUAGCGAAAUUCCUUGUCGGGUAAGUUCCGACCUGCACGAAUGGCGUAAUGAUGGCCAGGCUGUCUCCACCCGAGACUCAGUGAAAUUGAACUCGCUGUGAAGAUGCAGUGUACCCGCGGCAAGACGGAAAGACCCCGUGAACCUUUACUAUAGCUUGACACUGAACAUUGAGCCUUGAUGUGUAGGAUAGGUGGGAGGCUUUGAAGUGUGGACGCCAGUCUGCAUGGAGCCGACCUUGAAAUACCACCCUUUAAUGUUUGAUGUUCUAACGUUGGCCCGUAAUCCGGGUUGCGGACAGUGUCUGGUGGGUAGUUUGACUGGGGCGGUCUCCUCCUAAAGAGUAACGGAGGAGCACGAAGGUUGGCUAAUCCUGGUCGGACAUCAGGAGGUUAGUGCAAUGGCAUAAGCCAGCUUGACUGCGAGCGUGACGGCGCGAGCAGGUGCGAAAGCAGGUCAUAGUGAUCCGGUGGUUCUGAAUGGAAGGGCCAUCGCUCAACGGAUAAAAGGUACUCCGGGGAUAACAGGCUGAUACCGCCCAAGAGUUCAUAUCGACGGCGGUGUUUGGCACCUCGAUGUCGGCUCAUCACAUCCUGGGGCUGAAGUAGGUCCCAAGGGUAUGGCUGUUCGCCAUUUAAAGUGGUACGCGAGCUGGGUUUAGAACGUCGUGAGACAGUUCGGUCCCUAUCUGCCGUGGGCGCUGGAGAACUGAGGGGGGCUGCUCCUAGUACGAGAGGACCGGAGUGGACGCAUCACUGGUGUUCGGGUUGUCAUGCCAAUGGCACUGCCCGGUAGCUAAAUGCGGAAGAGAUAAGUGCUGAAAGCAUCUAAGCACGAAACUUGCCCCGAGAUGAGUUCUCCCUGACUCCUUGAGAGUCCUGAAGGAACGUUGAAGACGACGACGUUGAUAGGCCGGGUGUGUAAGCGCAGCGAUGCGUUGAGCUAACCGGUACUAAUGAACCGUGAGGCUUAACCUU
RNAcentral lists this ribosomal RNA (2354 nucleotides) under Escherichia coli. RNAcentral's name for it is "bacterial LSU rRNA". It matches the Rfam family "Bacterial large subunit ribosomal RNA", at positions 592 to 2925 of the family's 2925-position model. The record is from RNAcentral. Lineage: Bacteria; Pseudomonadati; Pseudomonadota; Gammaproteobacteria; Enterobacterales; Enterobacteriaceae.